UUAAUGAAUUUGAAGACCUCAACUUGCAGACUUGGAGGACUUUGAAGAUGCAGCAGACUUGACGAUUUCAACUUGCAUACUUGAAGAAAUUGAAGACUUCAACU
Molecule: microRNA precursor, 104 nt
Filed under: Solanum tuberosum (potato)
Lineage: Eukaryota; Viridiplantae; Streptophyta; Magnoliopsida; Solanales; Solanaceae
Description: MIR8024 microRNA precursor family
Rfam family: MIR8024 microRNA precursor family
Source: Rfam by way of RNAcentral